Molecule: ribosomal RNA, 506 nt
Filed under: uncultured Enterobacterales bacterium
Lineage: Bacteria; Pseudomonadati; Pseudomonadota; Gammaproteobacteria; Enterobacterales
Description: bacterial SSU rRNA
Rfam family: Bacterial small subunit ribosomal RNA
Source: RNAcentral
AUUGAACGCUGGCGGCAGGCCUAACACAUGCAAGUCGAACGGUAGCACAGAGGAGCUUGCUCCUUGGGUGACGAGUGGCGGACGGGUGAGUAAUGUCUGGGAAACUGCCCGAUGGAGGGGGAUAACUACUGGAAACGGUAGCUAAUACCGCAUAACGUCGCAAGACCAAAGAGGGGGACCUUCGGGCCUCUUGCCAUCGGAUGUGCCCAGAUGGGAUUAGCUAGUAGGUGGGGUAACGGCUCACCUAGGCGACGAUCCCUAGCUAGUCUGAGAGGAUGACCAGCCACACUGGAACUGAGACACGGUCCAGACUCCUACGGGAGGCAGCAGUGGGGAAUAUUGCACAAUGGGCGCAAGCCUGAUGCAGCCAUGCCGCGUGUAUGAAGAAGGCCUUCGGGUUGUAAAGUACUUUCAGCGAGGAGGAAGGCGUUGUGGUUAAUAACCGCAACGAUUGACGUUACUCGCAGAAGAAGCACCGGCUAACUCCGUGCCAGCCGCCGCGGUAA